Molecule: non-coding RNA, 73 nt
Organism: Stegastes partitus (bicolor damselfish)
Lineage: Eukaryota; Metazoa; Chordata; Actinopteri; Pomacentridae
Source: the annotation of a RefSeq genome assembly
CCUUCGAUAGCUCAGUUGGUAGAGCAGAGGACUGUAAAUCCUUCGGUCACUGGUUCAAAACCAGCUCAAAGGA